UAAAUAGAAUAAUGAUGAAUGGAACAAAGAGAAAAAUCCUUUAGCUGGAUAA
This 52-nucleotide transfer RNA is filed under the name Ochlandra scriptoria. RNAcentral's name for it is "partial tRNA-His". Lineage: Eukaryota; Viridiplantae; Streptophyta; Magnoliopsida; Poales; Poaceae. The record is from RNAcentral.